UGGGAAGGGCGGCCGGUGCAGCCGCAGCUGCCAUCUUAGGGGCGCCUUGCGCUGCGGCUUUCUCGGUGGAGGCGGCCUUCUUGGCAGCGGUAGACGUCGGGAAAAGGCAGAAAGUCCGUUGGCCGACACCUUUCUUUCCUCCGGCCUCGGCAGGACCGCCAGCCCGCGUCCGAAGGCGGAGGCGAGGGGAACUGGCCGCGUGAGGGGCCUGAGGCCAGCGGUUAGAGCGUCGCCCGGAAGGAUGGGCCGGUCUCGGAGCCGGAGCUCGUCCCGCUCCAAGCACACUAAGAGCAGCAAGCACAACAAGAAGCGCAGCCGGUCCCGGUCGCGAUCCCGGGACAAGGAGCGCGUGCGGAAGCGUUCCAAAUCUCGGGAAAGUAAACGGAACCGGCGGCGGGAGUCGCGGUCCCGCUCGCGCUCCACCAACACGGCCGUGUCCCGGCGCGAGCGGGACCGGGAGCGCGCCUCGUCCCCGCCCGACCGCAUCGACAUCUUCGGGCGCACGGUGAGCAAGCGCAGCAGCCUGGACGAGAAGCAGAAGCGAGAGGAGGAGGAGAAGAAAGCGGAGUUCGAGCGGCAGCGAAAAAUUCGACAGCAGGAAAUAGAAGAAAAACUCAUUGAGGAAGAAACAGCACGAAGAGUGGAAGAAUUGGUGGCAAAAAGGGUGGAGGAAGAACUGGAGAAAAGGAAGGAUGAAAUUGAACGAGAAGUUCUCCGAAGGGUGGAGGAAGCCAAACGCAUCAUGGAAAAGCAGUUGCUCGAAGAACUCGAGCGACAGAGACAAGCUGAGCUUGCAGCACAAAAAGCUAGAGAGGUAACGCUCGGUCGUUUGGAAAGUAGAGACAGUCCAUGGCAAAACUUUCAGUGUUGGGUUCUGCCUCCUGCUCAGUUCAGAAAGAGAUGGAAUACAGACUAUCUAAUUCCUUUCUCGUCUAAACUUAACAUUGCUGCGAAAGUUAAUUUUUUAGCCUAUUCAGAAGUGCUGACUGAUAACUUAAAAGUUGGAAGCUUUCAUAAAACAUAUUCAAGGAUACUUUUUGAUUUAAUGGAACUGGCUAUUUGAGAAGUGUUUGAAACUUUUGCCAUGGCUGCAGGACUUACAUUCUUUUUUGGGAGGACGGUGGGGAGACAGGGAGUGGUAAAGGGAAAAGGUUAAAAAUCCACCUGUGGUUGUAUAUUCUUCUAUUCUAUCGCUCUGUUACCUAGACUGUGAGAGGCUUUUGCCUUCAGUCAGAUUAAAAAGAGCAGGGCCUAACAUUGAGUGAUAGCACCUGCUUUGAUAAAUAGGUUUUCUCACUCUUCUUUUUUUCCUUCUUUUAUCCCUCACUCCCUCCCCUAAACCCUGCUUCAGCACAAUGGACUAAUUCUAGCAUUCCGAUCAUAAGGCCCUCCAUUUUCCUAAUGUGUUUCAAGGAAUCUUUUUAGGAAAAAUAUCCAGAUUAUUUAUCCACUUUUUUUAGUAUCUACUAACAACUCCUUUUUUUCUCUAGAGAGUUAUGAAGGAACAGGUUGUCCUUGUCUGGAGUCAAGCUAAACACAUGAUUUGUUUUAUCAGCAGCUGGAGCAGAAGUUGAAAAUGUCUUUCUGUGAGACAGUAAUUUGCUACUGAAGCUUUAUAGCUUGUUUGCACUGAUUACUCCAGGAUCCAAAAACUUGGUGAAAGUCACUGAAACACUCAAGGCAAAUUACUUUACAGCCCUGAGUGUCUUAUCACCAUAGUUUGCAUACUGAAUAUGAAUCCCAUUGGUGUGUGACCUAGGAAAUCCUGUAGUUGUUUUCUUGAACUGAAAUAUUUGACUCAAAAUAAUUAAGACUCAUUGUCAUUUUUCAUCUUGGCAUUAUUGUGGACAAGUUGACAUAUUAAAUCUCUUUGCUUUCUGGUAAGCUUAGCUUUUAAAAUGCAUUUUCCCUUGUCCUGUCUUUAACUAGAUAUGCAUGCUUAUAUUUAUAGUGGGUUUCACAGACUAUAAAAUUGAAUGUAUGAAAUUUUUAUUUAUAUCAGUGCUUUUAAUAAUGAAGAUAUUUUUGGAGUAAUGGUGCUGUCUUGUAGCGAGUUAUUAAUCAUAGUAAGAUUUUUUUCUCUUCAUUUGCUUUUUUGUUUCAUAUUAACAAUUUUUUUUUACACGGACACAACUCUCUGACAGUCUUUCCAAAUAUUAAAAUCAUUUGAAUAUGUAUGCUGUGAUCUGAACACUGCCCAAGCCAUCAAGCAGUCUUUAUACAGUUUGCAUUAUAAAAUCUCAUUAAAUUCUCCAAGAAAAAAUAAGUUGAAGAAUUUUAUUUCCUGACCAUGCAUCCCCUGGAUUUCUGAGUUUCAGUUCAGAUUGUAGAUGACAAUAUAAGCUGCCUUCCGAAAUUGUCAACAUCUGAAUGUUAAGUCCAUUUUCCCCAUGGAAGAAGCCCGUAGUUCCAUGAAGUAUGGAUUACCAUUUGUAUUUUUCACUAACAGUAAAUGUAUUUUUCUUAUUAAUUGUUUGCCUUAGGAAUGAUGAAUUACAUUUUUUGUUCCUUCUUACCAUAAACAUCUGCAUUCCUCAGCUCAGCCUUCCUUGUAUGUUGUUUCUUUAUAAAUGGUUGAGCUGCUGAUGCAGGUAUUGCCAAGCUAACAGUACAAAUCAUUUUAAAGAGGAAGCUGGCGCGUAUGGCAGCCGAGGAGCACACUCUGCAGGACACUGGACAAGACAGAGGAAGAACGUGCAAAACGUGAGGAGCUAGAGCGAAUACUGGAAGAGAAUAACCGAAAAAUUGCAGAAGCACAAGCCAAACUGGCCGAAGAACAGUUGAGAAUUGUUGAAGAACAAAGAAAGAUUCAUGAGGAAAGGAUGAAACUAGAACAAGAACGGCAACGUCAACAAAAAGAAGAACAAAAAAUUAUCCUGGGCAAGGGGAAGUCCAGGCCAAAACUGUCCUUCUCAUUAAAAACCCAGGAUUAAAUUGCAAACUCUGAACUUUUUACAAAGAAAAAUGGAAAAACUUUGUAUGGUAGCUUCAUGUUGAAGUGGUUUUUUGUUUUUGUUUUUGUUUUCGUUUUUUUAAUUUGUAAAAUCUGGAAAUUUAGCUUGUUCUAAUAGGGGCUAUGCUCUGCAACUCCCUUUUUUUUUUUUCUUUCCUUCCACUAAGUCAAAUCCUUAUCAGAUCAUUGUUGUCUUCUAAAGAGUGACAUAUUUUUCACCUGUUUGGAUUCUAUAUUAGUGGUCUGAGGAAGAGCAGAUCACAUUGUAAAACUAUGGAUGGUCUGAUAAGGCUUUUACUGACCCCACUGACUUCAGAGUUAUACUCUGCUACAUCAUAAUGCUGGUUUUGCUGACUUUUUGUUUUUUUAUAUAUUUAUAAAAAAAGAAAAAGUUGGUGAUUGCAUUGGGAAAUUCCCAGGGUAUUACUGGACCUAUGUGGUGUAUUGUUAAACCAGUGUCCUUGUGAUACUGUUGCUCUUGAUGUUCCUGAUACAGGUAAGGAAACAGUUGGUCACCUCUGAUACAAAGUACAUAUACAGUUCAGUAUUGGUCUCUGUUCAGUUUGUUUUUAUUUCAUUGACAAACUCAAACCAGCAUUCCCCAUUGUGUAAAUAAAUGAUUUUGCUGAAUAAAGUAAAGUCUUAAAUUCAUAUGUUGAAGCAAUUUUUUUUAAAGUUAUGUUAAGUCUUAAAGAGGGUGGUUCACUUUUUGAUGGUCAACCAUUUAGAAGUCUUAGAACUAUAUUUUCUCUUGUUUAUGCUUUUAACAUAGGGUUUAUAUGUACAUCUAAUAUACUUGUGAAUUAGUAUUUAAUGGCUAUUUUUACAAAUAUCAACUUUAUGCUGAUAGAGCAAAUGGCAUCAGUGUUACCUUUAAGAAAGACUGACAACACCCAGAAGAUUUAAAUUCUCAAACCUGUGCCUCUGUUUUAGGAUAUAAGUAUUAUCACAAAUUAUACUUAAUAAAGGCUAGAAAAAAGCUUUUAAAUUAUGGAAUCAGAUCAUUUUAGAGUGGGCCAUCAGAAAGAACUUAGCUUUAUACUGUCAAAAAAAGGCUAAGAUGGUCAAGUCAUUUUCAUUGUGUAGUGUACUUGCACGUUUAUUUUUAGGACAAACACAUUCGAACUUUUGAAGUUUUUUUGUUUUGUUUUGUUUUUGCAUGUGGAAUCUUACGGAUGGCUUUCAUUUUUUACACUAGAAUCUGCCUCAUUUACUCUUACAUAUGUUUAAGUAUACUGGCAUUAAAACAUUCGAGAAAAGGAUAUUGAUCUGAAAUGCUACCUGAGAUGCAUAAACAUGUCAUCAAGUAGAGAAAAUGUUGCCCAAUAUUUUUGAGACAGUUUGAUUAUUCUUAAAAAUUGAAAACCUAAGUUAAUGAGAUGACUAAAUGGUAGAUUAUUUUGUGUGUGCAUGCUAAGAAAAAAUGCUAUUGCUUUAGUUUUGAGCUCUUCAAUGAGUCUAAUUGUGGUAAGGAACAAUAUAAAAUCAGUUUAAAGAUCUUUAAAGGUAGAAUUUUAAAUAGGCAUGAACUAUAGUGAGAACUUUUGGUAAACAUGCUACCUACUCUAAAAUCAAACAUUUUAUUUUCUUAAAGAAUAUAGGUUGCCUAAAAACACUUUAUCUCUAAAUAUAGGUUAGCUGUAAUUAUUUCAUGAUUCUUUUUUUUUUUUUUUUUCUCCAAUGUAACUUUUUUUGGUGCAGAUUCAUGGUUCCUAAGUUCUGUAUUCAAGUUUUUGGAAAUGUUUAUUUAAAAACUGUUCUAUACAAGUGUUCAAAACAUUGUAUCUAAAGAGAGUGGCCUGGACUUAAAAUAUUUGAAAUCAGCUUAUGCGUGCCUUUUAAUUUUUUUUUUUUUUUUAAGUUUCUUACUGCCACAUAUGGUGUGAAAUGACAGUAAGUUGCUUAAUGACAUACUGCAGUAUCUGCUUGCUGUUGGAGACUCAGAUGAGAUGUUGAAAUUGUUCCUGUGCUUGGUAACUAUUCUCUGCCAGGCUAUGGGAAAGAGGAUGUAAUUGUUAAUAAUAUACACCAUCCAGUCUUUAAUGUGCUGCAACAAUGUAGUAAUUUGUUUUUUUCAUUUGUUCCCACUGCCUUUGUGUACAUAGAAAACUUAAAAAUUUCCCCCAAUCUAUUAGCAGUUAAGAUGUUCCCUAAUUUAUUAAAUAUGCCUUUAUUCACAAUUUGUUUUUUUAGGUUAUUCUUAAUGCAUUAUAGAAUUAACUAUGACUUUGUUUAUUUUUAUUACAGUAUGUAGUUAUUGACAUAUUGUGGUUUGCAGAAUUAUCAAUUGUAUAAACUAAACCUUUAAAUUA
Molecule: RNA transcript, 5265 nt
Organism: Rhinopithecus roxellana (golden snub-nosed monkey)
Lineage: Eukaryota; Metazoa; Chordata; Mammalia; Primates; Cercopithecidae
Gene: ARGLU1
Gene name: arginine and glutamate rich 1
Exons: 4
Source: RefSeq, a predicted model, not a curated record